Molecule: long non-coding RNA, 393 nt
Organism: Oncorhynchus tshawytscha (Chinook salmon)
Lineage: Eukaryota; Metazoa; Chordata; Actinopteri; Salmoniformes; Salmonidae
Source: Ensembl
UACAGGCUGCCUCUUGGUCCCCCUCAGGUCCUCUAGCAGGUUAUUCCAGAGGCUGGGGUAUAGUUACUACAGGCUACCUCUUGGUCCCCCUCAGGUUCUCUAGCAGGUUAUUCCAGAGGCUGGGGUAUAUUUACUACAGGCUGCCUCUCCAUGCCUCUUGGUCCCCCUCAGGUCCUCUAGCAGGUUAUUCCAGAUGCUGGGGUAUAGUUACUACAGGCUACCUCUUGGUCCCCCUCAGGUUCUCUAGCAGGUUAUUCCAGAUGCUGGGGUAUAGUUACUACAGGCUGCCUCUCCAUGCCUCUUGGUCCCCCUCAGGUCCUCUAGCAGGUUAUUCCAGAGGCUGGGGUAUAGUUACUACAGGCUGCCUCUUGGUCCCCCUCAGGUUCUCUAGCA